This 452-nucleotide ribosomal RNA is filed under the name Kingella oralis. RNAcentral describes it as "bacterial SSU rRNA". It matches the Rfam family "Bacterial small subunit ribosomal RNA", at positions 30 to 476 of the family's 1533-position model. The record is from RNAcentral. Lineage: Bacteria; Pseudomonadati; Pseudomonadota; Betaproteobacteria; Neisseriales; Neisseriaceae.
AUUGAACGCGGGCGCCAUGCUUUACACAUGCAAGUCGAACGGCAGCACGAAAGAGCUUGCUCUUUUGGUGGCGAGUGGCGAACGGGUGAGUAAUGCAUCGGAACGUACCGAGUAAUGGGGGAUAACUAUCCGAAAGGAUAGCUAAUACCGCAUACGCUUUGAGAAGGAAAGUGGGGGCUCUUCGGACCUCACGUUAUUCGAGCGGCCGAUGUCUGAUUAGCUAGUUGGUGGGGUAAAGGCCUACCAAGGCGACGAUCAGUAGCGGGUCUGAGAGGAUGAUCCGCCACACUGGGACUGAGACACGGCCCAGACUCCUACGGGAGGCAGCAGUGGGGAAUUUUGGACAAUGGGCGCAAGCCUGAUCCAGCCAUGCCGCGUGUCUGAAGAAGGCCUUCGGGUUGUAAAGGACUUUUGUUAGGGAAGAAAAGGAUAGUGUUAAUACCAUUAUCUGC